AGGGUUCGAUUAUGGCUCAGGAUGAACGCUGGCGGCGUGCUUAACACAUGCAAGUCGAACGGGAUCCAUCGGGCUUUGCUUGGUGGUGAGAGUGGCGAACGGGUGAGUAAUGCGUGACCGACCUGCCCCAUGCACCGGAAUAGCUCCUGGAAACGGGUGGUAAUGCCGGAUGCUCCAGUUGAUCGCAUGGUCUUCUGGGAAAGCCUUUGCGGCAUGGGAUGGGGUCGCGUCCUAUCAGCUUGAUGGCGGGGUAACGGCCCACCAUGGCUUCGACGGGUAGCCGGCCUGAGAGGGCGACCGGCCACAUUGGGACUGAGAUACGGCCCAG
Molecule: ribosomal RNA, 328 nt
Filed under: uncultured bacterium
Lineage: Bacteria
Description: bacterial SSU rRNA
Rfam family: Bacterial small subunit ribosomal RNA
Source: RNAcentral